AAAGGCCUACGGGGGGCAGCAGUGAGGAAUAUUGGUCAAUGGACGCAAGUCUGAACCAGCCAUGCCGCGUGCAGGAAGAAGGUGCUAUGCAUUGUAAACUGCUUUUAUACGGGGGUAAUUACAGAUACGUGUAUCUGGAUGAAAGUACCGUAUGAAUAAGCAUCGGCUAACACCGUGCCAGCAGCCGCGGUAAUACGGAGGAUGCGAGCGUUAUCCGGAUUUAUUGGGUUUAAAGGGUGCGUAGGCGGUUUUUUAAGUUAGUGGUUAAACGUCGGGGCUUCACCUUGAUUUGCCAUUAAUACUGU
This 305-nucleotide ribosomal RNA is filed under the name uncultured bacterium. Its description in RNAcentral is "bacterial SSU rRNA". It matches the Rfam family "Bacterial small subunit ribosomal RNA", at positions 333 to 636 of the family's 1533-position model. The record is from RNAcentral.